GAUGAACGCUGGCGGCGUGCCUAAUACAUGCAAGUCGAGCGAACAGAUGAGGAGCUUGCUCCUCUGACGUUAGCGGCGGACGGGUGAGUAACACGUGGAUAACCUACCUAUAAGACUGGGAUAACUUCGGGAAACCGGAGCUAAUACCGGAUAAUAUAUUGAACCGCAUGGUUCAAUAGUGAAAGACGGUUUUGCUGUCACUUAUAGAUGGAUCCGCGCCGCAUUAGCUAGUUGGUAAGGUAACGGCUUACCAAGGCAACGAGGCGUAGCCGACCUGAGAGGGUGAUCGGCCACACGGGAAGUGAGACACGGUCCAGACUCCUGCGGGAGGCAGCAGUAGGGAAUCUUCCGCAAUGGGCGAAAGCCUGACGGAGCAACGCCGCGUGAGUGAUGAAGGUCUUCGGAUCGUAAAACUCUGUUAUUAGGGAAGAACAAAUGUGUAAGUAACUAUGCACGUCUUGACGGUACCUAAUCAGAAAGCCACGGCUAACUACGUG
RNAcentral lists this ribosomal RNA (497 nucleotides) under uncultured bacterium. Its description in RNAcentral is "partial 16S ribosomal RNA". It matches the Rfam family "Bacterial small subunit ribosomal RNA", at positions 28 to 507 of the family's 1533-position model. The record is from RNAcentral.